This 471-nucleotide ribosomal RNA is filed under the name uncultured bacterium. Its description in RNAcentral is "bacterial SSU rRNA". It matches the Rfam family "Bacterial small subunit ribosomal RNA", at positions 329 to 793 of the family's 1533-position model. The record is from RNAcentral.
CUACGCACUCCUACGGGGGGCAGCAGUGGGGAAUAUUGCACAAUGGGCGCAAGCCUGAUGCAGCCAUGCCGCGUGUAUGAAGAAGGCCUUCGGGUUGUAAAGUACUUUCAGCAGUGAGGAAGGUGGGUAUGUUAAUAGCAUAUUCAUUUGACGUUAGCUGCAGAAGAAGCACCGGCUAACUCCGUGCCAGCAGCCGCGGUAAUACGGAGGGUGCGAGCGUUAAUCGGAAUUACUGGGCGUAAAGCGCAUGCAGGUGGUUUGUUAAGUCAGAUGUGAAAGCCCGGGGCUCAACCUCGGAAUUGCAUUUGAAACUGGCAAACUAGAGUACUGUAGAGGGGGUAGAAUUUCAGGUGUAGCGGUGAAAUGCGUAGAGAUCUGAAGGAAUACCGGUGGCGAAGGCGGCCCCCUGGACAGAUACUGACACUCAGAUGCGAAAGCGUGGGGAGCAAACAGGAUUAGAUACCCUGGUAG